This 72-nucleotide transfer RNA is filed under the name Pangasius djambal. RNAcentral's name for it is "tRNA-Glu". It matches the Rfam family "tRNA". From Rfam's summary of the family: Transfer RNA (tRNA) molecules are approximately 80 nucleotides in length. The record is from RNAcentral. Lineage: Eukaryota; Metazoa; Chordata; Actinopteri; Siluriformes; Pangasiidae.
UCCCUGGAGGACUAGUGGUUAGGCCACAGCGUUCUCACCGCUGUGGCCCAGGUUCGAUUUACAGCCAGGGAA